GGGCCCUAGUAAAUUUAUUACGUAGCCCUGUCAGUGCUAAAUUAUAGGCCAGCCACCUAUGAGCCCCUAUGGC
RNAcentral lists this transfer RNA (73 nucleotides) under Tarentola mauritanica (Moorish gecko). RNAcentral's name for it is "tRNA-Asp". Lineage: Eukaryota; Metazoa; Chordata; Lepidosauria; Squamata; Phyllodactylidae. The record is from RNAcentral.